GACGAACGCUGGCGGCGUGCUUAACACAUGCAAGUCGAACGGAAAGGCCCUGCUUUUGUGGGGUGCUCGAGUGGCGAACGGGUGAGUAACACGUGAGUAACCUGCCCUUGACUUUGGGAUAACUUCAGGAAACUGGGGCUAAUACCGGAUAGGAGCUCCUGCUGCAUGGUGGGGGUUGGAAAGUUUCGGCGGUUGGGGAUGGACUCGCGGCUUAUCAGCUUGUUGGUGGGGUAGUGGCUUACCAAGGCUUUGACGGGUAGCCGGCCUGAGAGGGUGACCGGCCACAUUGCGACUGAGAUGCGGCCCAGACUCCUACGGGAGGCAGCAGUGGGGAAUAUUGCCAAAUGGGCGGAAGCCUGAUGCAGCAACGCCGCGUGCGGGAUGACGGCCUUCGGGUUGUAAACCGCUUUCGCCUGUGACGAAGUGUGAGUGACGGUAAUGGGUAAAGAAGCUCCGGCUAACUACGUG
Molecule: ribosomal RNA, 468 nt
Filed under: uncultured bacterium
Lineage: Bacteria
Description: partial 16S ribosomal RNA
Rfam family: Bacterial small subunit ribosomal RNA
Source: RNAcentral